RNAcentral lists this non-coding RNA (95 nucleotides) under bovine gut metagenome. RNAcentral describes it as "TPP riboswitch (THI element)". The stretch from base 5 to 87 matches the Rfam family "TPP riboswitch aptamer (THI element)", at positions 10 to 89 of the family's 105-position model. Rfam says of the family: Vitamin B(1) in its active form thiamin pyrophosphate (TPP) is an essential coenzyme that is synthesised by coupling of pyrimidine and thiazole moieties in bacteria. The previously detected thiamin-regulatory element, thi box was extended, resulting in a new, highly conserved RNA secondary structure, the THI element, which is widely distributed in eubacteria and also occurs in some archaea. Analysis of operon structures identified a large number of new candidate thiamin-regulated genes, mostly transporters, in various prokaryotic organisms. The record is from RNAcentral.
ACAAAAGGGGAGCUUGCGCACGCAGGCUGAGAACGGACGCUGAGUCCGGACCCGUUGACCUGAUUUGGAUAAUGCCAACGUAGGGAUAUACAGAC